CCUACGGGGGGCUGCAGUGGGGAAUAUUGGACAAUGGGGGCAACCCUGAUCCAGCCAUGCCGCGUGUGUGAAGAAGGCCCUCGGGUUGUAAAGCACUUUCAGUGAGGAAGAACGCCUGGUGGUUAAUACCCAUCAGGAAAGACAUCACUCACAGAAGAAGCACCGGCUAACUCCGUGCCAGCAGCCGCGGUAAUACGGAGGGUGCGAGCGUUAAUCGGAAUUACUGGGCGUAAAGCGCGCGUAGGUGGCUUGAUAAGCCGGUUGUGAAAGCCCCGGGCUCAACCUGGGAACGGCAUCCGGAACUGUCAAGCUAGAGUGCAGGAGAGGAAGGUAGAAUUCCCGGUGUAGCGGUGAAAUGCGUAGAGAUCGGGAGGAAUACCAGUGGCGAAGGCGGCCUUCUGGACUGACACUGACACUGAGGUGCGAAAGCGUGGGUAGCAAACAGGAUUAGAUACCUGAGUAGUC
Molecule: ribosomal RNA, 465 nt
Filed under: Vreelandella stevensii
Lineage: Bacteria; Pseudomonadati; Pseudomonadota; Gammaproteobacteria; Oceanospirillales; Halomonadaceae
Description: partial 16S ribosomal RNA
Rfam family: Bacterial small subunit ribosomal RNA
Source: RNAcentral